AUGUUUCCUAUAAAUACCCAACCCCAACUUCAUUCAAACCCACUUGAUUCUGAGAUUUUCUCUAAGUUGGAGAGCAAAUGCAUAGGAUGAUCGUGAUACACUAGGAUGGACUUGGGCCUUAGUGACGAUAAAAUGGAUCUAGACUAGUUAAAACUUGUUAUGUACUUUGUUUCUUUUUAUUUUAAGACAAUGUAACUUGUGGGUUCUCGUUUGAAACAAUGUAUUCCACCCUUGGGUGAUGAAUAAAAUAUUAUUUAAAUUACCUUGGUUGUGGAACAAUAAUUCUGUUACAACACUCC
This 299-nucleotide long non-coding RNA is filed under the name Helianthus annuus (common sunflower). Its description in RNAcentral is "sRNA HanXRQr2_Chr11g0499771". Lineage: Eukaryota; Viridiplantae; Streptophyta; Magnoliopsida; Asterales; Asteraceae. The record is from RNAcentral.